This 1460-nucleotide ribosomal RNA is filed under the name metagenome. RNAcentral's name for it is "bacterial SSU rRNA". It matches the Rfam family "Bacterial small subunit ribosomal RNA". The record is from RNAcentral.
AGAGUUUGAUCCUGGCUCAGGAUGAACGUUGGCGGCGUGCCUAACACAUGCAAGUCGAACGGGAAAUUUGUUUUCGAACAGAUGGAGAGUGGCGCACGGGUGAGUAACACGUAGCUCAUUUGCCCUAGAGAGGGGGAUAACGCACGGAAACGUGUGCUAAUACCCCAUAAGCUCACGAGAAGUAGGACAUUGUGAGAAAAGCUGAGGUGCUCUAGGAUGAGGCUGCGGCCCAUCAGCUAGUUGGUAGGGUAAGAGCCUACCAAGGCGACGACGGGUAGGGGGCCUGAGAGGGUGACCCCCCACACUGGGACUGAGACACGGCCCAGACUCCUACGGGAGGCAGCAGUGAGGAAUAUUGCGCAAUGGACGGAAGUCUGACGCAGCGACGCCGCGUGGGCGAAGAAGGUUUUCGGAUCGUAAAGCCCUUUUCUUGGUGACGAGCAAGGACGGUAGCCAAGGAAUAAGUGUCGGCUAACUACGUGCCAGCAGCCGCGGUAAAACGUAGGACGCAAACGUUAUCCGGAAUUACUGGGCGUAAAGCGCGUGCAGGCGGUUGUUCAAGUCAUGCGUGAAAGCUCCCGGCUAAACUGGGAGAGGUCGGAUGAGACUGAACAACUAGAGGGUGCUAGAGGCAUGUGGAAUUCCGCGUGUAGUGGUGAAAUGCGUAGAUAUGCGGAGGAACACCGGUGGCGAAGGCGGCAUGCUGGGGCACACCUGACGCUGAGGCGCGAAAGCAUGGGUAGCGAACGGGAUUAGAAACCCCGGUAGUCCAUGCCGUAAACGAUGUACACUAAACGUUCGUUUGGCUACGGUCAAGGGAGUGUUGAAGCUAACGCGAUAAGUGUACCGCCUGGGGAGUACGGUCGCAAGGCUAAAACUCAAAGGAAUUGACGGGGGCCCGCACAAGCAGCGGAGCGUGUGGUUUAAUUCGAGCCUACGCGAAGAACCUUACCUGGGUUUGACAUCCCACGAACGAACCUGAAAAGGGGAGGUCCCGAAAGGGCGUGGAGACAGGUGCUGCAUGGCUGUCGUCAGCUCGUGUCGUGAGAUGUUCGGUUAAGUCCGAAAACGAGCGCAACCCCUAUUGCUAGUUAUACGUGUCUAGCGAGACUGCCUGCGGCAAGCAGGAGGAAGGUGGGGAUGACGUCAAGUCAGCAUGGCCUUUAUAUCCAGGGCUACACACACGCUACAAUGGCGCGUACAGUAGGUAGCGAAGCCGCGAGGUGGAGCCAAUCCAGCAAAGCGCGUCGUAGUUCGGAUUGUAGGCUGCAACUCGCCUGCAUGAAGUCGGAGUUGCUAGUAACCGCAGGUCAGCACACUGCGGUGAAUACGUUCCCGGGCCUUGUACACACCGCCCGUCACGUCAUGGAAGCUGGUCACGCCUGAAGUCGGGAAGCUAACCUAAGGGAGGCUACCGCCGAAGGCAGGGCUGGUGACUGGGACGAAGUCGUAACAAGGUA